Molecule: long non-coding RNA, 538 nt
Filed under: Lupinus angustifolius (narrow-leaved blue lupine)
Lineage: Eukaryota; Viridiplantae; Streptophyta; Magnoliopsida; Fabales; Fabaceae
Description: long non-coding RNA (LANG_LNC002688)
Source: RNAcentral
AUAAGUUAUAGCAUAACGCAUCAUCAAUUUCUUCCUUCUUUGUUUCUUGAAUUGCAAUAAAAUCAACAUCAUUAUUCACAAUUAAACUCCUAACACCCCUCGAUUUCACUCUACCCCCAAGACCCCUAACAUUUAUAGACAAACAAAUCAUGGGCAACCAUCUUCAUCCCUUGGAUUGUUUUCAAUGAAACCAAUCUUAUCUCUCUUCUCUAAGUCUCCAAUUUUCAGAAUAAUAUCAAAAUCAGGGCCAUCAUAGGAAACACCCAUACACUUACGAAUUUCCCACACCUUGCUAGCAACAUCUUCAUAGUCUUUAAAGUGGAGUAAAUUAACAGCCCGGACAUUUGAGUUAGAAAUGGAGUUGCUGAUCGAAAAAUCCACCUUAUUGUCUCCACUUUCAGUCCUCAAAGCAGUGUGCAACAACUUUUUAUUAUGUAUGUCAUCACAACCCGCCAACAAUCGUUUAGACUCUCCAUUCCCAUUCCUUUUCGUUUUGUGCUUGGCAAUUUGAGAAGAAUUUUUUUUUUAUUGCGGAAGG